Molecule: ribosomal RNA, 226 nt
Filed under: uncultured bacterium
Lineage: Bacteria
Description: partial 16S ribosomal RNA
Rfam family: Bacterial small subunit ribosomal RNA
Source: RNAcentral
UGAGUAAUCUGCCCUCCACUUUGGGAUAGCCACCGGAAACGGUGAUUAAUACCGGAUAUGACCUCGGCCCGCAUGGGUUGUGGUGGAAAGUUUUUCGGUGGGGGAUGUGCUCGCGGCCUAUCAGCUUGAUGGUGGGGUAAUGGCCUACCAUGGCUUCGACGGGUAGCCGGCCUGAGAGGGCGACCGGCCACACUGGGACUGAGACACGGCCCAGACUCCUACGGGA